This 425-nucleotide ribosomal RNA is filed under the name uncultured Lachnospiraceae bacterium. RNAcentral describes it as "bacterial SSU rRNA". It matches the Rfam family "Bacterial small subunit ribosomal RNA", at positions 67 to 507 of the family's 1533-position model. The record is from RNAcentral. Lineage: Bacteria; Bacillati; Bacillota; Clostridia; Lachnospirales; Lachnospiraceae.
CAGAAGUAGGAAGAAGGUACAUAUUCUAGUGGCGGACGGGUGGAGUAACGCGUGGGCGAACCUGCCGUUAUACAGGGGGAUAACAGCUGGAACAGCUGCUAUACCGCAUAAGCGCACAGCGGCGCAUGACGCAGUGUGAAAAACUGAGGUGGUAUAAGAUGGGCCCGCGUCUGAUUAGCUGGUUGGGAGGGUAACGGGCCUACCAAGGCGACGAUCAGUAGCCGGCCUGAGAGGCGGACGGCCACAUUGGGACUGAGACACGGCCCAGACUCCUACGGGAGGCAGCAGUGGGGAAUAUUGCACAAUGGGGGGAACCCUGAUGCAGCGACGCCGCGUGAGUGAAGAAGUAUUUCGGUACGUAAAGCUCUAUCAGCAGGGAAGAAAAAAGGACGGUACCUGAGUAAGAAGCCCCGGCUAACUACGUG